Molecule: long non-coding RNA, 490 nt
Filed under: Lathyrus oleraceus (garden pea)
Lineage: Eukaryota; Viridiplantae; Streptophyta; Magnoliopsida; Fabales; Fabaceae
Description: Pisum sativum (pea) long non-coding RNA (PSAT_LNC037288)
Source: RNAcentral
AUUCAUACAUAGUGAGUUUGGUUUGUGAUAUACCAUUUUCAUUGGUUUAUUUACUUAUGAUAGUUUGAUUAAACGAGUUUUGGUUUGGGUGAAAACCAUUUUAUUGGGGUAUAUUGAUAUCGAGUUAGAGCCGCGAACAGACGAGGAUGCCACCAUUUUCUUGUAUAUUCGAUGUUGCUAGGUACUUGUUAUUUUUACAUCAGCAGUUGAAAUUUGGUGUUGCUUGAUUUUCACUGUGCAUUUCCUAUUUUUUCAAUUCGGUUAUUGUAUCGGGUUGUUUAUAUUUAAGUACUGUUAUGAAAUUAUGACCUUGUAAAUAGUUGGAUUGGUGCUGUUAUUUUUUAGCACUGUUAUGGACUUAUGGCAUUGAAAUCAUUAUUUAUUUGUUUCGGAUGUAAAUACACACCAUAUUCCUUGCUGCUAUUAGUUAUAAUUUUUGCAAGGUUUGAAAAAGUCAAGAUAUUCAUCAUAUUCAUUAAUAAAAGCCAUU